This is a long non-coding RNA of Tyto alba (common barn owl), 920 nucleotides long. RefSeq lists it as uncharacterized. Lineage: Eukaryota; Metazoa; Chordata; Aves; Strigiformes; Tytonidae. The transcript is spliced from 5 exons. The record is from RefSeq and is a predicted model, not a curated record.
CUCUUUUUAAAUCAUCACCGCCAAAGUGCUGUGGGAUUGAUGGUGCCUUAGACACCAGCUGAUCCUAACAGGACAACCAACUCCCUCUAGCCCAAGGAAAUCUACCUCCAAUGACCACAAACAUAGAAACAAAUAAACAGUAGGAUUCCUGAAAGGAAAUUGGAGACAUGCAGAUUUAACUCCUUCCAUAACCAGAAAUGGAAUAAAGAAAUGCAUUCCCUUUUAGAGAAACAAUUUGUUCCAGUAAUGCUGUACAUUGCAAGCAGAAGUCUUUCUACUGUAAAUGAUUCUUGUCCAGGUUUGAUGUUUUUCUGCUACAGGAUGGACUCCACAGUAGGGAGAAGUGGAACAUGAGGCUUAAUGACUGCUAUGUGCUGGCUCAAGCUGUCAAUUGAGAAUUAAACUCAGUGUAAACAAGAAUUUAAAAUAUGAAAAGGUUAACAAGGCUCCUUUUGCUUCUGCAACCUGAGCAUUAUCUGGAUCUGGCAUUAUUCUACAUUAGUAUUUUACACACAUUCCUCACAAUUUGGAAAUUAAGAAGGAAGGUGGAAGGAAGAUGCUGAAGUGUUGGGCAUGCAGGUUUGGAGAGUCUGUCCAAGCAGACUACACAGAAAGCAGGCUACAUCAAAGAGUGAGAUGACCUCAGCGCAAUACCAGGAAUGAAAAGAAUUCCUGAAUUCAGAGCUCAGCCGCAGGGGAUGGAGGGGAGAAAAGUGAACCAGAAGUAUAUACAGUGUUCAAGAUGAGGACACGCUGUGGAGUUACAGAGAGGCCUAAUGAUAUUUUUUGUUUCGAGCUGACAUUUUCAUAGAACUGUUUCUCUGCAGUUAUCCACUAUUUAUAACUUCAAGAUCUCAUUCCUGAGUGUCAGGCUGUGUAUGUUAAGUUAGGAUUUAUAUAUAAAUAAAUCUGAGGUUAUU